CUUUCUCUCUUUUCGGGGCCGGUCUCGUGGCUGGAAGACAUGGCGGCCUCAGGCUGGUCCGAGCUAGGCCAGCAACCUCGGACCUUUGGCGGCGGCCUUUGUUUGGCAUCUGCAGAGACGGUGAGAAGCCGACGUGCACGUUGAAGCUUAAAACUAGCGAAUGGAACCCUGAAAUGAGUAAGAAUGGAUGCAGGCAAGACCUGGGUGGGCACCAGAAGUGGGAAAGGUUAAAGAUGUUGGCUGUGGACUUGGAAAAAAGUCACAUGAAAACCAUCAUCCAGAGAUACUGAGUGUAAGGAUCUUCGUGAUGAAAUUUCUCUAAAAGGUACAGUCUCAGCCUCAGUUUGAGGCCGAAAAGGAUGCUCCAGAACAAGACGCUAACUAGCAGCAGUGCCGUUUCAGCUGCCCUGGACCCGAGGCGGAAUUUCUCUCGUGUGUGUAAUAGAGAAGAUCUUUGGAACAGGCUUGGGUGGAGUGUUCUUUUUGCUUCCCCUGUCCUGGCCUUUUGAGUUGUGCUGAGUGACAGGGAGACUUUGACAUAGGUUUGUUUUCUUCGCUAGGUGUCUGCAGUGAGUGAGACAGAAUUGAACUGCUUUGCCUGAAGCAAGUGAAAUGAUGAUUCUUCUCCUGUUGUUUGUAAGCUUUCUCUUUCCAUCUUACAUGUCCCAAAGAAGCCCCACAAGCCUAUGAUGGUUAGUUAUCCCUGUCUGAAAAUCUCAACUGAGGGAAAACAAUCUGUUCUGAGGCUUAAGAGGCUGGCCCUGUGCUCUUAAAAGAAGUUUAGGCUGCAUAAGGGAUCGCACUGAAUGGACUCCAAAGGGAAUUGUGCAUACCAUGCCAAGACCCCAGUCCUAAUGCAUCAUCCCUCUGCAGCUUGAAAACCAGUAGUGUGGCUGUCCUGUCACACUUUAGGCCCCUUGAUUAAUGGCUCUGAGGGCGCAGGCUAUAAGAGGUGGCAGAAAUGGGCAAGUGGCCCAGAUUUGGUUUAUACUCUUACUGUGGAAUGAAAGAGUGCUUGUCACAUAUUUCAAGAAAAUGAAUGCGCUGUUUGAAACAGACGGGAAUGGCAGAUGUAUGCCAGCUGUGGCAGUGAGAACACUUCAGGACUAUCUGACCUCUUGCCCUUGCACCGUAUCCUGACAUUCACGAAAGACGGUGUACAGUGGCACUAGCAGAGCGAUUUGGUUUCCAGGUGCUUUGUUAACACCAGGGAGCUCUCCUGGCGUUAGCUCAGCUCUGUCUGAAUGGCACGGCUGGCAUGUGCGCAAGAGAGUAGCAAAGUGGCGCUGGGCUUUGUUCCCAUUUAAAUGCCAGGCUUGAACUGGACACAGAUUGACUUUCUUUUCUGUUGAAGCUGGGAGGUGUGUGCAGCUCUUUAUACGUAAGGUCACAUAUUUGUUCGGUCACCAAGGAAGCUAUAUUUGGAGUGAGAUUUAAAGAGCCUGAAAACCGGUCCAAGCAGCUUAUAGCUGGAAGUAAAACAAAGCGAAAGGACAUGUUAGCAAGUGGGAAAGUCUACCUGCUGGGUUAUAGUCUGCUUCUGAGUGGACUUGACUGCUCUGUGGGACCCAAGUGAACCUGUAGGUUUGUUUCUGUUUUUGUUUUUUUAAGCUGCACCGCACAGCUUGUGGGAUCUUAAGGGCUUGAACCCUGGCCCUUGGCAGUGAGAGUGAUGAGUCCUAACCACUGGACCGCCAGGGAAUUCCCGAACCUGUAGGUUUGACUCCAGAGGGGGGUUGAAUAUAAAUGUCGCCAGCACUUCAUGGCUGCUCUUCACUGGUACUGGCCACUUGCCAGAUUCUGCUCCCUCAGAUCCCAGUCUCCCGAAAAGGAGAGUCAUCUGGGACCUACCAGGCUGCACUGAAUUGAUCUGGUUGUGCCUUCCACACACACACACAUGCACACACACACGCAUAAUGAUUGACUGCUUAGAAUGAGUUCCUCUAGGGUUACCAAUUUUUAUAUUAGUUUUUUCUUUGAAUUUAACCUUCAGUUUUGAGUCUCUUAGUUGGCUGCUGCAUCAAAUGAUUCUUUGGUUUUAUAGGUUGCCUCCCAGUGAUGCCAGAUGGGAUCAGCACAGCCCCAGGUGCUAGUUGCUAAUGCCUAUAAAAUACCCUCCCCCACCAAAGGAGAAUCAUUUAAGAGUUCUUUGGACUUCGUCUUCAAAAGUAGUCAAAGAAUUCAAGUAACAGGGUAUCCCAGAAAAUUGUUUGCAGUUAGUGAAAUUAGGGUAUAAAUAAGAACAUUCAGAAUACUACACACAUAGUUUAGGUGAUCUUGGUAUAGUGGUGGGACAGCAGUGAUUAUAAAAUUAAGUAAUUAACAUGUGCAUGCUCUGUUGGGGGAGACUGACGGGAAAGAGGUGUUCAGCCUAGAAAAACAUUUCUCAGUGGAUUUCCUAUGAAGUCAAUGUGUCUUGGGUUUAACUUUGAAACAAAUUAAAAAAUUUAAAAACUGA
Molecule: long non-coding RNA, 2458 nt
Organism: Balaenoptera acutorostrata (minke whale)
Lineage: Eukaryota; Metazoa; Chordata; Mammalia; Artiodactyla; Balaenopteridae
Exons: 4
Source: RefSeq, a predicted model, not a curated record